RNAcentral lists this ribosomal RNA (643 nucleotides) under uncultured Sphingomonadales bacterium. RNAcentral describes it as "bacterial SSU rRNA". It matches the Rfam family "Bacterial small subunit ribosomal RNA", at positions 94 to 773 of the family's 1533-position model. Lineage: Bacteria; Pseudomonadati; Pseudomonadota; Alphaproteobacteria; Sphingomonadales. The record is from RNAcentral.
AGUGGCGGACGGGUGAGUAACGCGUGAGAACCUACCUUUAGGACGGGGACAACAUUGGGAAACUGAUGCUAAUACCGGAUAUGCCUUUUGGGUGAAAUAUUUAUAGCCUGAAGAGGGGCUCGCGUCUGAUUAGCUAGUUGGUGAGUAACGGUUCACCAAGGCGACGAUCAGUAGCUGGUCUGAGAGGAUGAUCAGCCACACUGGGACUGAGACACGGCCCAGACUCCUACGGGAGGCAGCAGUGGGGAAUAUUGGACAAUGGGCGCAAGCCUGAUCCAGCAAUGCCGCGUGAGUGAUGAAGGCCUUAGGGUUGUAAAGCUCUUUUACCCGGGAUGAUAAUGACAGUACCGGGAGAAUAAGCCCCGGCUAACUCCGUGCCAGCAGCCGCGGUAAUACGGAGGGGGCUAGCGUUGUUCGGAAUUACUGGGCGUAAAGCGCACGUAGGCGGCUUUGUAAGUUAGAGGUGAAAGCCUGGAGCUCAACUCCAGAAUAGCCUUUAAGACUGCAUCGCUUGAAUCCAGGAGAGGUGAGUGGAAUUCCGAGUGUAGAGGUGAAAUUCGUAGAUAUUCGGAAGAACACCAGUGGCGAAGGCGGCUCACUGGACUGGUAUUGACGCUGAGGUGCGAAAGCGUGGGGAGCAAAC